Molecule: unclassified non-coding RNA, 208 nt
Filed under: uncultured bacterium
Lineage: Bacteria
Description: contains 16S-23S intergenic spacer region
Source: RNAcentral
UCAUUUGCCCCAGUUUUCUCAUUCGCCCAAGCAGGAUGAUUAAAUUUGCCUCUUUUCAGACCCACUUCGAUCCUUUCUCUGGCGAAGACCAAAUCUGUAAAGCUUGAAGGCGCGUACCCCACCAUCUUUUCAUGGUAGAACACUGGUAAUGUGCCUAUUAUUAUUAUGAUCAUCUCCUUCUCCGUCAUUGGAGGUGCCACUUGAGCUA